GUGCUUGCUUCGGCAGCACAUAUACUAAAAUUGGAAUGACACAGAGAAGAUUAGCACGGCCCCUGCACAAGGAUGACCCAUAAUGGAUCAAGAGUAAAAUAAUUUUUUU
This is a small nuclear RNA of Suncus etruscus (white-toothed pygmy shrew), 109 nucleotides long. Lineage: Eukaryota; Metazoa; Chordata; Mammalia; Eulipotyphla; Soricidae. The record is from RefSeq and is a predicted model, not a curated record.